UCCUCUCUUUGUCUUUCCUUCGUGUCUUCGGAGUUCUUUCAGGAAGACAAUUAUGGUCUAAGCUACCACAGCUAGUUGUUGUUCGAACCAUGUUCGGUGCACAAAAAGGCCCAUACUGGGCAAGGAACUCUUUUUCACCCACGCCUUACUAUGUAGUGCCUGUGGCAAAAUCCCUCAGCGACAUCUUUAACAAAUAAGUCGCAAAAUGCAAAAUAGAAUAGUUUCAAAUUGAUAAAGAACUUGACAAAAAAAGCCAAGCGUGAGGAAUCGCGUCAUAUUUAGCGAGUAAGCGCCUUAUUCGGAUGCCUUGCGAUGUCUUAAGCGUUACGUUACCACAUUUUUGAGCUCGAAUGACGUCAUAUCGAAUAGCUGUCACAGUCUAAACAUUUGUUUUCAUGGGCUUCAAAUUCGUUUUGAAAACGGACCUGAAUCAUGAAAACACUUAUUUAUCUCAGUUUUCAAAACGUUUUGAGUCUAAAUACGAUCUCAUACAUUUUUAAGGGCGAAUCGAGAUCCAAAUUAAUGUCGCCAUAAAAACGAUUAUGAAGAAAAGACAUUUGCCCAAGAGGAAAUGUGAAAAAGAAAAUAUCAGAAUAAACACAUCAAUCAUUUUUUUUUCAGAGAAAUCAACACAAACUAAUCAAAAAUCAUCAAUUUGAAAAAAAACAUACGUGCAACCUCAUCUUGACGUUCUUUUCUAUAUAUUUUGCAAAUGUAGUAUCGAUCGACCAUAUUUUUGUCAUGUAGGUAUAUUAAUACCAAAUUAACUAAAAGUAAUACAAAAAAAUGUAAUGCUUCUCAACUGAAAAAUAUCAAUAAUUUGACAUCAAUUUACUGUUUAGUGUCUGUGUUGUUGUGUCUUUAUUAGUGGCCUCGGAAAACCGAACCGCUAACAAACGCUUGAAGCGCGUUAUACGGUAACGUUAUGAUUUACUUGAUCGCUCGAAUGACAUGUCUUAGAGACGCUUACAGCCGCUUACUCGCUAAGAUAUGGGCUUUAGUCAUUUCAUCAUACAACAUAAGAUGUCUGUCAAGUGCCAAGCUGCCAAGCUGUCUAAAUGUUUUUUUUUCAGUAAUGACCGAAUCAAGAAAGUCUGUAGAACUCGGUGAAGAAGCUUUAGCCCAAUUUGACUGGCUUCAACUACAAAAAGAUUUGAAUGAGGCUAUGCCACAGGAGAGUAAUCUGGAUAAACUUAUGAGAAAAU
Long non-coding RNA from Anthonomus grandis grandis, 1205 nucleotides. RefSeq lists it as uncharacterized. Lineage: Eukaryota; Metazoa; Arthropoda; Insecta; Coleoptera; Curculionidae. The record is from RefSeq and is a predicted model, not a curated record. The transcript has 3 exons.